AAUAAAUUUGAACGACUGAUAAAAAUAAAAGUUCUGCUCUGUAAGCUUAACUUCCAUUUUUGAGCUUACUGAGCCUUGACACUGCAUACCCCUAAGAUCUGUAAAUCUUUUAAGGUGUUUUACCAUUUUCUUAAGGGAGUCACAUUGGCAAAAUUUCUUAGGAUCAGACAAAUGUAUCUGUCUGGACUCAAAGGCUGUUAUUUCAUGAUGAACUGUAAUAUACAUUGCUUCAAUUCUUAAUUUAAUGGUAUCUGAUCUAUUCCAGGUGAUGGUAGGUAAUUUUGGCCAGGGUAAUGAGCAGUCAGAAGUUCCAUGGGCAGUUCUCACAGCACCUCACUUCCUAACCAAUGAGCUAAGCAAGGACACUUCCUGAGAGUGCAGAACAUAUCCUGAAAAAUGAGAUACUGAUUUAUACAUAUCAAGAUGCUUCAGGGCUUCAAGGAAAGCAUAUCAUGAAGAGGAAUCAACUAGAACAACAUUGAAACAUUAACAUGGCAUUGAAGAAUUCCAGACAGAAUUAGGAAAUGAAAAGGUUGGGAUUCUCAGAGCAAUAUCAAGUCACCAUUAAGUAUGCAGAUCUUACUUGUGGACCGCAUAUAAAAUUCACAAUACUCUGUGUAUGCAGUAUUGUUUUGCUCUGUGAAGCAAAAAUAUCAAGUAUGCACAAGCUGUUUUAAAAGAUCAUCUAACAUUAUCAGCAUCAAAUUUUAUAUGCAGCCCCAUUUUAUUCCUGGUUUUUGAGUUGCCAUUGUCACAAAACAAAACUAGACAAAAUUUUUACCAUUCUACAUCAUUUAAAAGAAAAUGCCUAUGGUGAAGUAACUGAGACACAAUUAAAAUGUGCUAAGCCUUACACCAUAAAAGGGGAAAAUAUAUUUAGUACUUGCCAUCUGAAAGAGUUUCAUGAGCACAGGAAAAUUGCUGUUUGGGAACAUGACUGUUGAUUUCUGCAAAAUGUGAAAAGCAAGUCAGUGAAAGCUAUAAUGUAAAUUUGAAAAUAGGAACUUAACCAAAGAAGGCCUCAGAGGAAUGGACUGCUUUGUUCCUAGUCACCUUUCAGCUGCUGGUUCUUGAGAUCACCUGUGAUUUGAUGCUAUACGUAUUUUAGAUGUCCAGUUGCCAUUAAACUCUUCACAGCUGAGGAAGCAGACAUCAUGAACAGAAAGGUUGUGAAAAGCAGACCAGACAAAUGGGGUGUUACAGAGCAAGAUGAUAAGAGGUGAACAAAUAAACAGGUAAGAAAAAUCUGCAUUCUGUUUUUAAGCAAUUUAAAACAUUUAGAGAUAACAAAGAGCCAGUAGACAUACUAAAAGGAAAAGUUACACAAAAUCAUAACAUGCAUUUCUGUCCCUUCCCUCUUAGCAGAAUGUGGUCUGCACAGUCUUCUAUAAAUCCAUCAUCUAUCUUCACCUUGAAUACUGCAUACAAUUGUGCAGUUUCCCCCCAUCUCAGUAAAAAUAGAAGUGGAAUUUCUGGAAUCGUGGAAGAUUCAGGAAUGGUCAACACAGACAAAGGCACAGAAAUGGGGUUUCAAAACUGAGACAGAUUGACAGUAAAGUAUUUAUGAAAAGGGCACUGGUGCUGUUUAUGACAAAGCUGUUUAUUUAAUAAAGUAGGCAAAGUCUCAACUCUCUUUGAAUUCAGUACGGAUGAUUUCCCCAAUGCAUUUACAUAGCUUAGUUGGCGAUACAUGGGAAAAAUAAUUAAUCAAUUUGUUACUGCAGUAGAACAGCCUACUGCCUUCCCUGCCUGCAGGGCAUAGUUUCAUGAACACCUUUAGGCAAAACAAGCAGCAGUGUUGGAGUCUCUUUCCCUGCAAGUCUGCAGUCCAAAUUUCUGCUCAAGGCAGGUUCCAUUAAAGCAAACGCCUCUUGUGCACCUUUGGGAAGAAUCCGACUCCAUAUUUCCUACGCUGUUCCAUGAGGAAGUGGUAGUCAGCAGUAUCACCUCCCUUCACCAUCUUUAAACCUGAGCAAAUCCAGUGCUCUCAGCUUUUUGUAUGCCAUCAACUGCAGCCCCCUGAACAGUUUGGUGGCCUUUACAAGUCUUGCUUAGCAUGUGAAUGCCUUUCUUAAAACGAGGCUCAACUCCAAAUGUUGUCUCACAAGUGUCAAGUGGAAGGGAAGAAUCUCUUCCCUCCAAACCUAGCAGUUGUGCUCAGCCCAAUAUGCAGCUGGAACAUGUUUGCUGCAAGAGCACACAGUUGACUCACAUUCAGCUUGUGCACCAUGACCCCCAGCUUCUUUUUUAUAAAGCUGCUGUCUAUGCAGUCAGUUCCCAACCUGUCCCAACACACGGGGUUAUGCCAACCCAGAUGCAGGGCUUCGCAUUUGCCUUUGUUGAACUUCAUGAGGUUCCCCAGCAGCUCCUUUUUCCAGUCUGACUGGGUCCAUCAGAGUAGCAGCCCUGCCCUCCAGUGUAUCAACCACUCCCCCCAAUUUGGUAUCACCCACAAAUUUGCAGAGAGGUCACUCUAUCUCAUCAUGCUGGUCAUUACAUCAACCAUUUCAAGAAUUCAAGUUGGUGUAACCUAUGUAAAAGCAAGCAAGUCAAACAUCCUUCCAGAGAUAUGCUAGAGAUUUCAAAUUUUGUUUUACAGAAAUGCAGGAGUUGCAUUGCUGAGUCUUUUUUCCUUUAGAUAUAAAAAGUAGCCCUAGGUUCCAGAAGAAGCAGGCCCUGGUCUUUUUUUUUGGAUGCAAAUACUGAAAUGUAGAACUUGAUUUGCUGUGUGUAAGGAAUCUUCUGGACGGCAGAGAUGCUUGUUGAGACUGAACUAAGCUUGUUGAGAAGAACUAAGCAAGCCAGAAGUUAUUUAUAGUGUCCUUCCCCAGAAUCUUCCUGUCUGUGGCUUUGCUCAAAGACAGAUGAUAUAUUUCUCUAUCAUAAAAUGACCAGUUGCAUCAGUCUACGUGGUACUCCAGGAACAUACUUGCAAUCUUGUUAUUUGCCUGGGUGGUUGUAUGCACAGGAUGGACUUUGUGCUUAUAGCUGUUAUACUUAAGGAGCAGAGAGUAGAAUCUGCAAGAACAAAACCAGAAAAAGAGAGAUGAAAGAAGAAACCUGUAGGAGUAAUUUAGCUCCUCUGCAUACAAUAUAACUAUAAACCAGUUUCAAGAACAUUUAUGUAAUGACAGCUUUUCCAGCACACAACUGUCUGUUAUGGGCAGCUACGCACUAGCACGGUGUUUUUGCAGAAUGGACAGAAUAACAUCACUGCCAAAGGGCAUAUAAAGGACAAUGUUACAAACAUGCUCCCCAAAAUUCUCUCAGAACAUAUUAUGCUACUCAUAGGCUUACUAUAACCAAAGACACGACAAGUUAUACUAUAGGCUGGUAUGGUCCUAAAUAGAAGUUGGAUUUUGUUCUGUAUGCUAGAAAUAGAUUUGAGAUAAUACCAAGUACAUUGGAAAUACUAUGAAACAGCUCAUGAAAAUGUUUUCUGAUCUUCCACGUGGAGCUUGUCUCUCCAGAUUAUGUUUUUCAACUGUUGUAGUUUCUGGAACAACAUUUCCAACAACACGAGCUGAAAAAAACUUCAGGAAACAGGAAGCAUUGGUUGUGAAAACGAACUAAGAGAAGAUGGAAGGACAUGAAAGAGAAGAAAGUCAGCCAAGCCUCUAAAAAUGGGAACAAAGGCACUGCAUGUUUUCAAACAAAUAUUUCAGAGUCAGGGCCACAGAAGAACCCAAUCUGGGACUUGUGCUGGGUUGCAGAACACCAAGGUACAGCUCCUCAGCUCUGCUAUAGCCAUCAUAUAACACCCUGAACAGAUCACCCUGCCAUCUCUAACAAUGGGAAAAUAAUUUUUGCCAUUCUUUAUUAGUUCAUUCAUUCAGUGGGACAGUAAAUAUAUAGCUUAAUUGCCACAAGCUUAAUGCACCGGGAUCCUAAUUUUGUAGAACUUUGCUUAGAUACCAAGAGACCCUAUUACUUAUAUACUCAUCAUCAUUACUACUGAUUUUCCUAACAGCUAAAUGCAGAAUAUGUAUAAAUUUCACCAGGUAGGUGGCAAAUGCUUUCUCAUUUCUCUGUAAAAAUAACUGCUCUUACUAAACAGAAAGUGUUAAUGGAACUGACUUCUGUUACUACAAAAAUACAGCUUUGCAGCUGUUUAGUCAGUAGUAAAUAUACUAUUAUAUUGUUCUCAAAAUCACUAAUUUCACCUGCUCAUAGGAAAGUGAUAAUUUGACUUACAUUAACCAUACUUUAGACCAUUCUGGUACUUUCCAUCAACAUUUUAACAUUUUGGAUUAAUGCACUCUGUCAUCUUACUGCAUAUACAGGAUCAUGAACACUGAGAAAUGAGGCCUUUACAACUGACUUAACAAUGUUGCCCAUAAUAUUGUUAUACUGUGAGAAUGUUCCUCAGUACAACUGUGUGUCUCAAUUAUAUUAAUGUAUUCUUCAGAUUUAAAACCAACUUAGUUAAAGCAACCAUUGAGUACAUGCCACCUUGUUUGAGAAAGUAUAUUUGAAAAGCAAAUGCUUCUCCUCACCUAUACACAGCUCCAGUUGCUAAAAAGAAUUCAUCAGUGAGAAGGAAAAUGCAAUUUGUCAUAAAUGACUUAACACCAGUCACCAAAUGCUUCAGAUAAAUGAAAAGGAACACUACAAGAAGCAAAUACAACAGGUCAGCACUGCCACAUAAGAUUUAUAUGAAAUUUUUAUGGGAAUCGAAAACCUCAUUUAAAAAAUAAAUCAUUAUCAUUGUAAUUCAUAUCUACUUCCAGUCUGUGACUAGUAUAUUUUCUUAGCCAUAUGCCAUGGCAGUUAACUGGACAACCUAAAUCUCCCUCAAUGUAAGUAUUUCCUUCUAUCAGAUUUCUCCCCCUCCCAUCCCAAUUUUACUAGAUGUUCUCCUUUGAACUGUUACUACAACUUGUAGGAAGCAGAACUCCUGACUUGUGUUUCUUACUUCAUAUAGAUUUUAUCACUUUCACAUCUUUGGCUACUUUCUGGUAGAAGCAGCUGUAGUCUGCGCAUGUUAGUCUCACUUGAUUUUUCAUUGGUUUUAAGAUUACUUUCCUUCCUUCAGUGAAAAACAUAUCAACUUUACUAAUCCAACACCAAGUGCACUAAGGCAUUGCAUCAGUUGGUCUCCUGAAGAACAUUCACGUUUCUCCUUUGGAUACUGUUUUCAUUGUCAUAUCCAAUGGUAUGCUGGAUGGGAUACUGUUCAACUGGAAGUUGCACUAAACAGCUGCUGAACACUAUUAAAACGUUCUAAUAGGUGUGACUUAUGGACCGGAAGAGUCAGUAAACAAAUGCAGUAUAAGUGACAGUAUGAAAAUGGACUAACAGCAAUUAGCAAUGUGACUCCAUGAGUAACAGGGAAAUUGCCUUGACCCAGUUGAUGGCAGGAGC
Molecule: long non-coding RNA, 5364 nt
Organism: Melopsittacus undulatus (budgerigar)
Lineage: Eukaryota; Metazoa; Chordata; Aves; Psittaciformes; Psittaculidae
Exons: 4
Source: RefSeq, a predicted model, not a curated record